This 544-nucleotide ribosomal RNA is filed under the name fungal endophyte. RNAcentral's name for it is "eukaryotic LSU rRNA". The stretch from base 188 to 341 matches the Rfam family "5.8S ribosomal RNA". Lineage: Eukaryota; Fungi. The record is from RNAcentral.
GCGGAGGGAUCAUUACUGAGUUUACGCUCUAUAACCCUUUGUGAACAUACCUAUAACUGUUGCUUCGGCGGGUAGGGUCUCCGUGACCCUCCCGGCCUCCCGCCCCCGGGCGGGUCGGCGCCCGCCGGAGGAUAACCAAACUCUGAUUUAACGACGUUUCUUCUGAGUGGUACAAGCAAAUAAUCAAAACUUUUAACAACGGAUCUCUUGGUUCUGGCAUCGAUGAAGAACGCAGCGAAAUGCGAUAAGUAAUGUGAAUUGCAGAAUUCAGUGAAUCAUCGAAUCUUUGAACGCACAUUGCGCCCGCCAGCAUUCUGGCGGGCAUGCCUGUUCGAGCGUCAUUUCAACCCUCAAGCUCUGCUUGGUGUUGGGGCCCUACAGCUGAUGUAGGCCCUCAAAGGUAGUGGCGGACCCUCCCGGAGCCUCCUUUGCGUAGUAACUUUACGUCUCGCACUGGGAUCCGGAGGGACUCUUGCCGUAAAACCCCCAAUUUUCCAAAGGUUGACCUCGGAUCAGGUAGGAAUACCCGCUGAACUUAAGCAUA